Orbicella faveolata is the source of this 2197-nucleotide long non-coding RNA. NCBI's taxonomy places the organism in Eukaryota, Metazoa, Cnidaria, Anthozoa, Scleractinia, Merulinidae. The record is from RefSeq and is a predicted model, not a curated record.
GACAGAAAAAAAAUGUACCAAGAAUUAUAACACACGUGCACAGCCAUUUUUCUGCUCAUUAAACCUUUUCUUUAGUGCCAUUGCUGUUGCCGUUGGGGUUUUCUUAAGCUCCCUAUUUAGAAGGGGGUGGGUGGAUUGGGUGGCUAGCCACCCUGUCUUUGGAGAAGCAAUAAAUAAAUAAAAUUGAAAAAGAUUAUGAAUAUUAUGGUAGAGAGAGGUACUGUGACGGUGAAGCAUCUUACCUGAAGAAGACAAAAAACUGGAUGACCGGCUUGAACUUGAAACUGAUUAGAACCACUUGAUAAUUUCAAAGUCCAAUGCACUUUGAGUUUAAAAAUUGCAUAUUAACAUAAUAGGCAAUUUAUAGUUUGUUUCAGGACCUUCUAGGACUUUCUAAAAAAAGGAAAACGAAGAAAAAAUGGACCUUCUAUCUAGAAAAAUCUAUGAAACUUUGAAUAUUUUUACCCCAUGAGCUCCCACCCUUGAUAGAGUGAGGGCAUUAUAAGGCUCUCACUUUUGUACACCUCUGUGUAUAUCAUGCCAAUUGUCCACUACUGGUAUGGUUUUGUAAUCGUGUACCAGCACUCAAGAACCAAUACAAAAGACCCAACAGUAUACGACAGCUAAACAAAUGCUUGUAACGAAAGACAGUACAGUGGUUAUUCCCUCAGUGUACCGAUACACCAGGACACAACCACUGGUAUCAACAGUAUCAACAGGUUGUGCUAACAACCUAAAAACAUUUUCAGUUAAUUCCAAAUGACUCAAAUGAUCUCUUUUGUAUGUAGAAGCAAGGUUUUUCAAAAACUAUCUCGAGACCAAGAUUUUUUACUUCCUUCAAGUCUCGUGUGCCUGCUGAGUUGGGGGGGUUUGCUCUAAAGCCUCGAAAGCCUGGGUACUAGGGAAAUCAGGGAGGCCUGGGACCUAAUGCAUUUACGCCCGGAAGAUGUUUUGCUCGUGAUCGAACACGCUGAAUGAAAGGGGAGAGAAUUUUGCUGAUGAAGCUUAAAUUAACCCUGAUUUUACUUCACAGUUUUCCAGGAACGUACAAACUACACAACCGUUAACAAUAGAAUAUCAGCUUCAUGUUUCAAGCGAUUGUAGAGUCCAUCUUUGAGCCCGGCGUUAACAGUCAACUCCUGAGAGCAAUCAAUGUUAUAUUCCUAUGUCUUGUUGUCGUCGUAAUAUUUCUGUUGACCGCUUAUGGCUUCAAUAUUCAUUUGCUAGUACUUUUGAUACUUACUACCGGCCUCCUACUAUCAAUAAACUGGUUUGUCAGUGAAUUAUGGAGAUCUGCAAGAGAUGCAGAAGUGGAGAAAAAAGAUGAAUAAGCCAGGCUUCUAACAAAUCCUGGAAGGGUAUUUAUAAAUUUGGUCCAUCAAUGGUACUUUUAUGAUGAGAACAAAGAGAUGCAUACAUCAUGACAGUGUCAUCGUAGCUCCUCUUCACUGAAGUACAAGAGAAAGAGCUAGUAACAUUUGAUUGAUGAUUAAACAGAGGAAGACAAAUUGCGGAAGACAUUAGGCUGACAGACCUGGAAACUUCUCAAGUUCUCAAGCAGUGAACAAAUAUCCAACACAGCGAUGCUAAUUUGGGACAUUGGCAGCUAUAGCUGGUUUAAGGUGAAGAAGCUCAAGAAUACAGCUAGCAUGAAAUCACAAGACUCAAUCCCUGGUUAGUAAGUGAAGUUGUGUCCAGUGUUCAAUCACUUCCUCCCUGUAAUCUCUGAGGGAUUUCUCCUAUAAAUGACCAUUGCAACUCACACGUACAUCAAAUAUAUCACACAUGUAUCAGUCCAGAAAUAGAUAUUAUUUUAUUGUUGUAACUAGCCAUUUUUGUAUUGUCAACCUAGCAAAGCAAAACCCCAUCACACAAGGGCUUUUAAAUGUAGUAUGUAGUAUCUAUACAUUUAUUUCUAAAGCAAAUGAACUUAAAUUAAUUACAUGUGAGAACGUCUGUCAGUGAAAAGUGGAGGGAUAAAUAACAAAUGUGUAUGGUUACUCCUUUACCAAGUUCUACUUACAGAUAAGAACAAUAGCGAGCAAAAGGGAAAAUUUACAACUUGCGUGACUUGCAAAAUCAACUUCAUAAUAGGUUACAAUUUGUUUAAUAGUGAGUUUAAAUCAUUUACGUGUAUUUACCUCUGAAGAACUUAGAAAGAAAUAUAUUGAUAACAUAAUAAAAUGGACUUCCUGGA